This is a non-coding RNA of Podarcis lilfordi (Lilford's wall lizard), 71 nucleotides long. The record is from the annotation of a GenBank genome assembly. NCBI's taxonomy places the organism in Eukaryota, Metazoa, Chordata, Lepidosauria, Squamata, Lacertidae.
GGGCCAUAGCUCAGGGGCAAAGAAUCUGCUUUGCAAGCAGAAAGUACCAGGUUCAAUACCUGGCAUCUCCA